ACUCAACCUGAUGACUGGCCUCUCUGUCCCAUUACCCAACCUGAUGACUGACCUCUCUGUCCCAAUACCCAACCUGAUGACUGGCCUCUCUGUCCCAAUACCCAACCUGAUGACUGGCCUCUCUGUCCCAAUACCCAACCUGAUGACUGGCCUCUCUGUCCCAAUACCCAACCUGAUGACUGGCCUCUCUGUCCCAAUACCCAACCUGAUGACUGACCUCUCUGUCCCAAUACCCAACCUGAUGACUGGCCUCUCUGUCCCAAUACCCAACCUGAUGACUGGCCUCUCUGUCCCAAUACCCAACCUGAUGACUGGCCUCUCUGUCCCAAUACCCAACCUGAUGACUGGCCUCUCUGUCCCAAUACCCAACCUGAUGACUGGCCUCUCUGUCCCAAUACCCAGUGCACUACUUUAGACCAGGGCCCAGUGCACUACUUUAGACCAGGGCCGUAGGGACCUGUUUGAAUAGGGUUUCAGACCAGGGCCGUAGGGACCUGUUUGAAUAGGGUUUCAGACCAGGGCCGUAGGGACCUGUUUGAAUAGGGUUUCAGACCAGGGCCGUAGGGACCUGUUGGAAUAGGGUUUCAGACCAGGGCCGUAGGGACCUGUUGGAAUAGGGUUUCAGACCAGGGCCGUAGUGACCUAUUGGAAUAGGGUUUCAGACCAGGGCCGUAGGGACCUGUUGGAAUAGGGUUUCAGACCAGGGCCGUAGGGACCUGUUUGAAUAGGGUUUCAGACCAGGGCCGUAGGGACCUGUUGGAAUAGGGUUUCAGACCAGGGCCGUAGGGACCUAUUGGAAUAGGGUUUCAGACCAGGGCCGUAGGGACCUGUUGGAAUAGGGUUUCAGACCAGGGCCGUAGGGACCUGUUGGAAUAGGGUUUCAGACCAGGGCCGUAGGGACCUAUUGGAAUAGGGUUUCAGACCAGGGCCGUAGGGACCUAUUGGUUAUCUAGUAACAUAAGCAUUUCCCUGCUAUAACACUUCCAAAUCUGUGCAAGCAACCAAUACACUUUGGUUGAUUUGGAAAGUAGUGCACUAUAUAGGGAAUAGUGUUCUAUAGGGCUCUGGUCUAAAGUAGUGCACUAUAUAGGGAAUAGUGUUCUAUAGGGCUCUGGUCUAAAGUAGUGCACUAUAUAGGGAAUAGGGUUCUAUAGGGCUCUGGUCUAAAGUAGUGCACUAUAUAGGGAAUAGGGUUCUAUAGGGCUCUGGUCUAAAGUAGUGCACUAUAUAGGGAAUAGUGUUCUAUAGGGCUCUGGUCUAAAGUAGUGCACUAUAUAGGGAAUAGGGUUCUAUAGGGCUCUGGUCUAAAGUAGUGCACUAUGUAGGGAAUAGGGUGCCAUAAGGCUCUGGUCUAAAGUAGUGCCCUAUAUAGGGAGCCGUUUCAGGCGCUGCCAGAGUCUUCAAAGCCCAUGUCCCCUAGAGGGUUUCUGAAGGGUAGGUACAGGAGUUUUCCCUGACCCCUCUGUAACCUGCAGGAUAAACUCUAUGCCAUAGAACGGACCUCCCAAUUCAUGUCAAUGAUGGCAUACUGGGUGUAGAGUUUCCAUUUUUAUAUUCCAGACCUGACCGAUAAAGAGCUGUUGGCUAUAUGUUUUCCUUUUUUAAACUUCUCAUCUAUGACCUCUAGGUGUUUCAAACCUCUCAUCUAUGACCUCUAGGUGUUAUAAACCUCUCAUCUAUGACAUCUAGGUGUUAUAAACCUCUCAUCUAUGACCUCUAGGUGUUUCAAACCUCUCAUCUAUGACCUCUAGGUGUUUCAAACCUCUCAUCUAUGACCUCUAGGUGUUAUAAACCUCUCAUCUAUGACCUCUAGGUGUUUCAAACCUCUCAUCUAUGACCUCUAGGUGUUAUAAACCUCUCAUCUAUGACCUCUAGGUGUUUCAAACCUCUCAUCUAUGACCUCUAGGUGUUUCAAACCUCUCUAGGACCUCUUGUUGCAGCCGUGACCUAGCGCACGUGAUUCAAAUAGUCAAGGGCUUGAUGAUUGGUUGACAAGUUGAAUCAGGCGUGAUAGCUCUGGAAUAGUUCAAAUACAUGGAACGGCUAGAGGUCCCAGAGGAGAGGUUUGGAAAAGGCUGGAGGUCCCAGAGGAGAGGUUUGGAAAAGCCUGGAGGUCCCGGAGGAGAGGUUUGGAACGGCUGGAGGUCCCAGAGGAGAGGUUUGGAACGGCUGGAGGUCCCAGAGGAGAGGUUUGGAAAAGGCUGGAGGUCCCAGAGGAGAGGUUUGGAAAAGGCUGGAGGUCCCAGAGGAGAGGUUUGGAAAAGGCUGGAGGUCCCAGAGGAGAGGUUUGGAAAAGGCUGGAGGUCCCAGAGGAGAGGUUUGGAAAAGGCUGGAGGUCCCAGAGGAGAGGUUUGGAAAAGGCUGGAGGUCCCAGAGGAGAGGUUUGGAAAAGGCUGGAGGUCCCAGAGGAGAGGUUUGGAAAAGGCUGGAGGUCCCAGAGGAGAGGUUUGGAAAAGGCUGGAGGUCCCAGAGGAGAGGUUUGGAAAAGGCUGGAGGUCCCAGAGGAGAGGUUUGGAAAAGGCUGGAGGUCCCAGAGGAGAGGUUUGGAAAAGGCUGGAGGUCCCAGAGGAGAGGUUUGGAAAAGGCUGGAGGUCCCAGAGGAGAGGUUUGGAAAAGCCUGGAGGUCCCGGAGGAGAGGUUUGGAAAAGACUGAGCUA
Molecule: long non-coding RNA, 2657 nt
Organism: Oncorhynchus keta (chum salmon)
Lineage: Eukaryota; Metazoa; Chordata; Actinopteri; Salmoniformes; Salmonidae
Exons: 4
Source: RefSeq, a predicted model, not a curated record